This 460-nucleotide ribosomal RNA is filed under the name uncultured Bacteroidota bacterium. Its description in RNAcentral is "bacterial SSU rRNA". It matches the Rfam family "Bacterial small subunit ribosomal RNA", at positions 338 to 795 of the family's 1533-position model. Lineage: Bacteria; Pseudomonadati; Bacteroidota. The record is from RNAcentral.
CCUACGGGGGGCUGCAGUGAGGAAUAUUGGUCAAUGGGCGCAAGCCUGAACCAGCCAUCCCGCGUGAAGGAAGAAGGCGCUAUGCGUCGUAAACUUCUUUUCCAGGAGAAGAAAACCCCCGACGUGUCGGGGCUUGCCGGUAUCUUGGGAAUAAGCAUCGGCUAACUCCGUGCCAGCAGCCGCGGUAAUACGGAGGAUGCGAGCGUUAUCCGGAUUUAUUGGGUUUAAAGGGUGCGUAGGCGGAUUGAUAAGUCAGCGGUGAAAACCUUCAGCUUAACUGGAGAAUUGCCGUUGAUACUGUUAGUCUUGAGUAUGGUCAAGGUAGGCGGAAUGUGUAAUGUAGCGGUGAAAUGCUUAGAUAUUACACAGAACACCGAUUGCGAAGGCAGCUUACUGGGCCAUAACUGACGCUGAGGCACGAAAGCGUGGGGAGCGAACAGGCUUAGAUACCCUGGUAGUC